RNAcentral lists this ribosomal RNA (375 nucleotides) under Naso hexacanthus (sleek unicornfish). RNAcentral describes it as "partial 12S ribosomal RNA". It matches the Rfam family "Bacterial small subunit ribosomal RNA", at positions 844 to 1384 of the family's 1533-position model. The record is from RNAcentral. Lineage: Eukaryota; Metazoa; Chordata; Actinopteri; Acanthuriformes; Acanthuridae.
CAUUAAUAGUACUUUACAACUGCUAUCCGCCUGGGUACUACGAGCAUCAGCUUAAAACCCAAAGGACUUGGCGGUGCUUUAGAUCCACCUAGAGGAGCCUGUUCUAGAACCGAUAACCCCCGUUCAACCUCACCCUUUCUUGUUUAUCCCGCCUAUAUACCACCGUCGUCAGCUUACCCUGUGAAGGCCCUAUAGUAAGCAAAAUUGGCAAAGCCCAAAACGUCAGGUCGAGGUGUAGCGUAUGAAAGGGGAAGAAAUGGGCUACAUUCUCUAAACAAGGGAAUCACGAAUAAUUCAUUGAAACAUGAAUCUGAAGGAGGAUUUAGCAGUAAGCGGAAAAUAGAGCGUUCCGCUGAAACUGGGCCUGAAGCGCGC